CUGUAUUGCGUAGGGGAAAUGAGUCGUAGUUUUGUAGUUUCUUCCCCUAUAGCAGAGCGUAUAAAAGCCUGAGCACAACUAGACAAUUCAUGCAUUAUUCAUAAGGCGAAAGCCUGAAUAACAUCGCCGUGAAGAUAUAUAGAAAUUACAAGUUAAUAAAGAAAGAUUUAAAAGGAUUAUACGAAGGCGAAGAUAUAUUAAAGAUAAAGAAUUGUCAGGAAUUGAAGAGUUGUACUCAGUCGUGAAAAGAGAUAAGUUUGAACAGUACAUUAUUAUUAAGAAUUAUAUUAUAUAAGUAAAAGUUAUAGAGACGCUAAUUAUUGAGAUUUGAGUAAUAUAUAAGUAAGAAAUAAAUAUAUCAUUGAAAGUAAUUGGUUUCACAAUCUUUGUUGCGAGCGAAUAGAACCAAAAGCGCGGCCAAAUAAAAUAGUAAGGACCGGCUCGUAACAGUAUAUAUGUAUAUAUAUA
Non-coding RNA from Paramuricea clavata, 468 nucleotides. NCBI's taxonomy places the organism in Eukaryota, Metazoa, Cnidaria, Anthozoa, Malacalcyonacea, Plexauridae. The record is from the annotation of a GenBank genome assembly.